CUACCUUGUUACGACUUCACCCCAGUCAUGAAUCCUACCGUGGUAAUCGCCCCUCCUUACAGGUUAGGCUAACUACUUCUGGAAAAACCUUACCUACCCUUGACAUGUCUGGAAUCCCGAAGAGAUUUGGGAGUGCUCGCAAGAGAACCGAACACAGGUGCUGCAUGGCUGUCGUCAGCUCGUGUCGUGAGAUGCCGGGUUAAGUCCCGCAACGAGCGCAACCCUUGUCAUUAGUUGCUACGAAAGGGCACUUAAUGAGAUCGUUGCGACAAACCGGAGGAAGGUGGGGAUGACGUCAAGUCCUCAUGGCCCUUAUGGGUAGGGCUUCACACGUCAUACAAUGGUCGGGACAGAGGGUCGCCAACCCGCGAGGGGGAGCCAAUCCCAGAAACCCGAUCGUAGUCCGAUCGCAGUCUGCAACUCGACUGCGUGAAGUCGGAAUCGCUAGUAAUCGCGGAUCAGCAUGUCGCGGUGAAUACGUUCCGGUCUUGUACACACCGCCCGUCACACCAUGGGAGUGGGUUUUACCAGAAGUAGUUAGCCUAACCGUAAGGAGGGCGAUUACCACUAGAUUCAGGACUGGGGUGAAGUCGUAACAAGGUAG
This 604-nucleotide unclassified non-coding RNA is filed under the name uncultured Bordetella sp. Its description in RNAcentral is "partial 16S-23S ribosomal RNA intergenic spacer". It matches the Rfam family "Bacterial small subunit ribosomal RNA", at positions 952 to 1499 of the family's 1533-position model. Lineage: Bacteria; Pseudomonadati; Pseudomonadota; Betaproteobacteria; Burkholderiales; Alcaligenaceae. The record is from RNAcentral.